RNAcentral lists this long non-coding RNA (3341 nucleotides) under Nicotiana tabacum (common tobacco). RNAcentral describes it as "long non-coding RNA (NTAB_LNC002226)". The stretch from base 824 to 930 matches the Rfam family "MIR6152 microRNA precursor family". Lineage: Eukaryota; Viridiplantae; Streptophyta; Magnoliopsida; Solanales; Solanaceae. The record is from RNAcentral.
UUUUUUUUGGUCGGAAACGCCGAGAAAAGUUUCACUUAAAAUUAUUUUCACUCUCUUUGAAACAAAUGCGACCAAGUUUUUCAGCUUCUUAAAAACUGAAAAAAAAAAAAUCUUCUUUCUUAAUAUUUAGUUGAAAAUUUUCUUUUGAUUUUUAAAAAAAGUUUGAUUGAGAUACUUCUUGAAAUUUUUUAAGCCAAUAUAAAACGAAUGAAAAUCUUGAAAGUUUGUUCUUCAAGUUACUCGCUUUUUUUAAGAGGAGCUACCGGCUUUGAGCUCUAAAAACAAAACAACCUUUUUAUAUAAGGCACUUUAUAUCAAGUCAUCCGUUCGUUUACAUUUAGUGGGCGUUUGGACACAAAGAAUUAUAAAACUCCCCCAAAAAAGUGAAAAUGGUAUUUGAAAAUUAGAGUUAUGUUUGGACUUGAAUAUAAUUUUGGAUUGUUUUUGAAUUUUUGUGAGUGAUCUGAGUAAAAAUUUUGAAAAACAGCUUUUUCAAAUUUUUCAAAUUUUCGAAAAGUCCCAAAAUUCAUCUUCAAGUGAAAAUUUAUGGCCAAACACUGAUUUCGAAAAAAAAUAAAUUUUUCGAUAAAAAGUGAAAAUAUUCGUAUGUCGAGAAAUUUUCAUAAAACACUAUCUUUUAGUAAUAAUUAGUCAUCUAUAGAUACCGUUUGCUAUAUUACGAAUUAUAGAUACCUUUUCUGUGGUUAUAAGAUGUAUUUGAUGUAUUUAAGCUAUGUAUUCAUGAAUACAGUAGCAAAAAUAGGCGUGAAUCAGGGAAGUUCAGCUAAUCAGUUGUUGUAUUCGACUGUAUUCAUGCAACAGCUGGACAGAUUAUUGUAUUAUACUGUAUUCGACUAUAUUCAUGGCGUGAAAUAGGGGAUUACACUGUUUUUAAAACGGAAAGUGAAUCAAUUAACAUAAUAGACUCCUGAUAUAACUCAACAAACUCAAUUAUAACACACAAAUUUGUAUUUUUCAGUUAUAAAAAAGAUUCUCAACCGCAAAAUACCCCAAAAACAUAGCAAUCUUCAGAGAAAUUAUAUAGUACAUCUGAAUACAUAAAUUAUAUUAAUUAAAAAAAAACAUAUGAAUACAUUCAUGGCAUAUAACGAGAUAAUGGAUACAAUGAAAUAGAUCGAAUACAGAGGGAUAUAUUGAAAUACAAUGAGAAAAAAAGACAUUGAAUACAAUGAAAUACAUGGAAUACAACGAGAUACAUUGAAUUACAAUGAAAAAAAAGAUAAUGAAUACAAUGAAAUACAACGAGAUACAUGGAAAUGCUCUAAAAAAAGGCAACAGAAUCUUCAAAUUGCUCAACCCCAAACUUCAGACGACCUAUUUUAGUCGACAAUUUUCCGACGAUCCAUCGGAUUCCGCCCAUGAUUCCAUAAGCAGCGAUGAGAGAAAGAAGAAGAAAACGAGAAAUCACAGAAAUCAUAAAUCAGAAAUCAGAGAUUCCGAUUUUGAUAUUCGUGGACAUGAAUAAUACGCCAACUCCAGUAUGUUUCUUCUUCUUCCUCCUUUCCGAUUUUGAUUGUUUUCGUAAAAUUCCGAUUUUGAUAAACUCCAAGGCUGUGAUUUCUCCUUAAUUAAAUAGCACGCGGUUACGCCAAAAUUUAGGCUUUCGUCUUCUUCGUCUUCAAUUGCUUUGUUUGUGCAUAUUUACGAGCUAGCUUAUUAAGGUUUGAUGGAUUUUUGUUUCCUACUAAAAUGCUGUUCCAAUAAUUAAUAUCAGUAUUGUCUAUAUUGGAGUUAUUUUGGUUAAGAGGAAGAGGUCCACGAAAUUUUGGGAGAAUGAGAUAUAUCAAAGUAGAGAGAGAAAGAAAAAAGUGUAACUGAUUAGCGUAUUUAGUGGCUUAGGGCUAGGAGGAAACCAAAAUUAAAUAUUUUGCUAUAAACCUUAAAAGGUAUCUAUACAGUAUAAUUUUUUUAAAUAAUAUUUAUUUAAAAUAAAUAAGGUGUUAACCUUUGCUAUAGGAGGUAAAAAUUCCGAUAAUAUAGAGGCGCGUUAAUAUAGUGAGCCACACCUUUCAAACUAAGCUUUUAUGCUGAUCUAUGGAUUAUAGUUAGCCAUCCAAUAAUAGGAUUAUACAGCAUUAUGUGCUUUACAUUACUAUAUGAUCAUUAUGAAAAUGAUAUUUCGUAUUCUUUUAACUCUCUCUCUGUGCGCGCAGGGGGUGGGGGUGGGGAGGAUCAACAAGCUAUACGAUGCAAGCCAAUUAUUGAAUCCUGAAGUGACAAAAAUAAAACUGAUACAGCUCAAUACAUAGUAAAGUAAAGAAGCAAACUUGUGGUUCAAUAUGACGAAGAGAGUGUUUGGAUUGGCUUUUAACAUGGUCAAAUCAGCUUUUAAGCUCUUUCUAGCUUUUUUCAGUGUUUGACAAAGUUAAAAAAUACUUAAAAUAAGUUAAAAACUGCUUAAAAGUUAAAACAAGCCAAACCAGUAAGCUAGCAACCCCAACUUAUUGCUUUUUGGCAUAAAAGUUAUUUAUGCCUAAAGACUACUUUUUUAGCUAUCAUUCGCGCCUUGUAACAUUAAUUUGUAGAGUGCAAAGCCUCCUCUGUGGCAGCCGGGCAUAGUAGAAGCCAUGUCAUCCAAAUCAGUCUGACAAAAAAAGAAACAUGUGAAAUUAACAAUUGCAAGUCAUAGAUAAACUGUGUAAAGCAAUAUGAACCUUUCUUUUAUGGAUGAAGAAGCAAAACUACCUCUCGUACUACUUUUAGCAACACAUACUUAAACAACGGAUCAGUACCAAAUAUAAUAUACACCUAUCAUCAGCAGUCUUGAAAUGGUGAUGCCCGUGAUUUCCAACAGAUUAAGGAGUAAAAAAUGCAAGAAAGGAAAGAGCUCAAAAAUAAAAUAAAGUAGUCCAGCACAUGAAAAAAAGCCUUCUCAAACUCAAUUUCACAUGACAAGUAGAACGCUGCUAAAUGGCCCCAGGUAGGACAGAAAGGAGAUACCUAAGGUUGAUUUUAGGCAAUUUCAAGCUGAAAAAGGUGGAGGAUUAUUUGGCUAGAAGGAUCUUAAGGGUUUCGGUCAUGCAACUUAGAAUAAGAUGCCAGGAACAAGGAACAAGGAACAAGCAUCACUGAUGUUGUGAAGCUGUAAGACAGAACCAUAGGAUAGAUUUGCAAUUAUCACUUCCAACCAAGAGGUUGUGAGUUCGAGUCUCCCCAAGAGCAAGGUGGGAAGUUCUUGGAGGGAAGAAUGCCGGGGGUCUAUUUGGAAACCUCUCUACCCCAGUGUAGGGGUAAGGUCUGCGUAUACACUACCCCCCAGACCCCACUAAGUGGGAUUAUACUGGGUUGUUGUUGUUGUAUUACUCUCAAGCACAACAGCU